ACUCCUACGGGAGGCAGCAGUGGGAAUAUUGCACAAUGGGGAAAGCCAUCGAUGCAGCCAUGCCGCGCUGUGUGAAGAAGGCCAAUUCGGGCUUGGUAAAGACACUUUUCAGUAGGGAGGAAGGUAGUGUAGUUAACACCUGCAUUAUUUGACGUUACCUACAGAAGAAGCACCGGCUAACUCCGUGCCAGCAGCCGCGGUAAUACGGAGGGUGCGAGCGUUAAUCGGAAUUACUGGGCGUAAAGCGCAUGCAGGCGGCCUGUUAAGUCAGAUGUGAAAGCCCGGG
RNAcentral lists this ribosomal RNA (286 nucleotides) under uncultured bacterium. RNAcentral describes it as "partial 16S ribosomal RNA". It matches the Rfam family "Bacterial small subunit ribosomal RNA", at positions 335 to 606 of the family's 1533-position model. The record is from RNAcentral.